UAUAAAGAUAAAGAAGGUCAAUUUUAAUAAUAUAAGUUUCACUUUACUGGGAAGACAUAACAACUUAAAAUAUGUAUGCACUUAAUAGUGCAGACUCAAGGCAAAGCCAGAUGAGAAACAGACCUGCUAUAAUCAUAGUGGGAGAUAUUUUUAUACACCACCUUCUCCGUAAUUGCUAGAACAAGCAGUAGACAAUAACAACCAGGGAUAUAGAAUAUACUGCACAAUAAAAUUUCUCUACCCAAUGGAUAUAUACAGGGCAUUGUACCCUACAGCUAACAGGAAGACACAUUUUAUUCAAGUACAUAAGGAACAUUUUUAAUAUGCUGAGCCAAAGAGAAAUUAUCAAUAAAUUCCAAAGCAUUAAAAUCAUACCACAUAUGUUUCUCCAACUAUAAUACAAUUAAGCUGGAACUCAAUAACACAAAGAUAACUAGAAAAACCACAUAUGUUUUGAAAUUGAGAAUCAUACUUCUAAUUAACCUUUGAGUCAAAGAAUAAAUCAAAGUUGAAAUUAGGAAAUAUUUAGAGCCAAACAAGAAGGAAAAUUCUACAUGUGAAAGCAGUUCUUAGAAGGAAAGUGAAGUCUUAAAUAUAUUGGAAAGGAAAAUGGACUGAAAAUUGCAUCUUAAGAAGUUGGAAAAGAACAAAAUAUGUAGCAUUGAGGAUGUAAUUAAGAUAAGAUGCAGGAUUAAUUGAAAUAGGAAAACAUCAAUGAUGUAGAGAGAAUCAACAAGAUAAAAGCUGGUUCUUUGAGAAAACUAAUUAAAUUGAUGAUCUUUGGCAGGACUAAUGAAAGGAUGAGAGGAAACACGGGUUACUAUUAUUAAGAAAAAGGUGGCAGAGGUAUAGUUGACAGAGAUCCUUGAAACACAGCAGGGGAUGUACAAGUCUAGGCAAUAAAACUCAAACAUUUCUAUAGGAAGGAAAAUUCUUAAAUAAAUAAUAACCAAAACCAAUUUGAGAAAUAGAAAACCUGAUUAGUUUUCCAACCAUUAAGAAACUUAAAUCAACAGUGAAAAAUCUUGACCUCCACAAGUCUUCACUAGUGAAUCCUAC
RNAcentral lists this long non-coding RNA (1059 nucleotides) under Marmota monax (woodchuck). The record is from RNAcentral. Lineage: Eukaryota; Metazoa; Chordata; Mammalia; Rodentia; Sciuridae.